AACGAACGCUGGCGGCAUGCCUAACACAUGCAAGUCGAACGAGACCUCCGGGUCUAGUGGCGCACGGGUGCGUAACGCGUGGGAACCUGCCCUUAGGUUCGGAAUAACUCCCCGAAGGGGGUGCUAAUACCGGAUAAUGUCUUCGGACCAAAGAUUUAUCGCCCUUGGGUGGGCCCGCGUUGGAUUAGCUUGUUGGUAGGGUAAAAGCCUACCAAGGCGACGAUCCAUAGCUGGGUUGAGAGGAUGGUACGCCACACUGGGACUGGGACACGGUCCAGAAUCCUACGGGAGGGAGGAGAGGGGAAUAUUGGACAAUGGGCGAAAGCCUGAUCCAGCAAUGCCGCGUGAGUGAUGAAGGCCUUAGGGUUGUAAAGCUCUUUUACCCGGGAUGAUAAUGACAGUACCGGGAGAAUAAGCACCGGCUAACUCCGUG
RNAcentral lists this ribosomal RNA (433 nucleotides) under uncultured bacterium. RNAcentral's name for it is "partial 16S ribosomal RNA". It matches the Rfam family "Bacterial small subunit ribosomal RNA", at positions 29 to 507 of the family's 1533-position model. The record is from RNAcentral.